Molecule: long non-coding RNA, 2133 nt
Organism: Bombyx mori (domestic silkworm)
Lineage: Eukaryota; Metazoa; Arthropoda; Insecta; Lepidoptera; Bombycidae
Exons: 2
Source: RefSeq, a predicted model, not a curated record
AAAAAUGUUUUCAAAAAAAUUAACAUUGACUGCUGUCAGUGUUUUUGCUUUUUAAAUCAUUGUAUACAAAUUUUGCUCGUUGAAAUUGUAAUUACUUUGUUAACUUUGUUUUAAUUGAGUGUGAAGUGAAAUUUUAUAGUCCCCGGAUUUCUCUUUAACGAUUAAUUAGAUACUCGACGGAAUGUAUACAAACGGAGGUCAUUUAAAUUACAAGUAAUUUCGGAGGACCAGUUUCAUCAUGAUAGCAAUGCGGCAUAAACACUACGCUACCUCAAUGACGGAUAUACACAAUAUAUGAAGUUUAAUAUCUGGUGCACCUAUUACUUACAAACGAACGCACGGUCUGUUAUUGGUUUAAAGGCUUCCGUUCUGGAUAUUUAAAUCUAAAAAAAAAAACAUGUCGCGGUCGUCUAAAAACUAUUGUCUUCACGACGAAUUAAGGCGACCGUAGAAGCUGGUGGUAAAUGGCUUAGUUAGCAGCGGUUUUAGACAAGCAGCCUGACAAAUGGGUGCCGCACGAACUGAAUGAUCGCUAACGCAAUAGCGCUGACAUAAAUGAAGGGAUUUCGAACCGCUUUGUUACUGGCGAUGAAAAGUGGAUCAUUUUCGAUAAUCAUCUAUUUAACUUAUAUCUAGCUAGGCUUGGUCUAACGCUCGUCCUAACUGCUCCUGCGUGGCAGCUUAUAACUCCAUAUUGAACAAGAGGCGGACAGGUCUCGAAGUUACAAAAGCUAAUGAGUUUUGGCAAAUGCGUGUAGCAAAUAACGUGCCGUACAGACUACGAAUAUAUACAUACCUUGAUUUUGAUCAACUUGGAGAAAUUUGUGGUCACUGGAAAGGUCGAGGUUAUGCGACCAAGAGGCAGGAGCUCGACCCGUUGGACGGACCAUAUUUGUGCAGCCCUUGAUACAACAGUGCACGAUGCUCUGCACUCAGCUGCAGAUAGGAACAGAUGGCGGUGCAUUACAAAAAACAAACUGUUUCAAGGCCAUGACCACGACCCUCAGUAAUGAGGAAACCGACGCAAGGAGGAGGAUUUUGAUCAACAUGAAAUACCCCUAGCUAUGAUUUAGUGCACGAACCACAUAUUCCAUUAAAACGAUCGUGUUAACAUAAUCAUCUAAUAGCCUGCACAAUCGAACAUUAAUUACCCACAGAUAACAUUAGCUUUGCAAUAGAAUCCGCAACACGCUGUAUAUAAUAGUCGCCACAUAAAUAGGUCAAUGCGGCGCGGCGCGUUGUGAUCCAUGUAAACUAUACUCGAGAUCUGAUUGUGGUCGUAAGUAAGUUAUAAGCAGUCGGCUGUUAUAGUCGGUGGAUUUUACAUUAAUUUUUUUUUUUGGUAUACAGCAUUUUAAUGUUUAUGAGUGUAAAUGUUCCUUUUUUAUACAUAGUUAGGGCGAGCUGAUUUAAGGGCACUGCAAGAUACCUAUUGCUGCUGCUGUAAAGCAGUAAUGUGUUACGGUUUUAAGAUUGCAACAACAGUUCUAAAAACGGAGACUUAGAACUCAUGUCCCAAGGCGGGUAGCCGCAUUUACGUUGUUAAUUUCUAUGGGCUCCGUAACCACUUAGCACCAGAUGGGUCGUGAGCUUGUCCAUCCAUUUAUGCAAAAGGGGGUGUAGUCUCAUUUGUAUUGUGUCAGGGCUGUACCGCCUAACAAACCGAAGCGUAUGACUGCUUCAGGGUGUUCACAAUACCUUAUUGCGCCAUUAAAUACGCAAAACACUAUCAUUAUUGCCUUUUAUUAGAUCUGUUCCUUCAUUGGGGUAAUAUUUCUUGGAAACGCGUUCGAUGAGUAUUCUUAUAGAAAAAUUGGUAAAUUGCGUAAAUUACGCGUGAAUUGGGUUACGCGAUCUAGUCGAAAUAUUGUUAAUUGAGCUUUUACUAAAACUAGAGGUCCCGCAGUAGUCGAAAUUCGACUAUAAUUAAUUGGAAUUGUAAGUUUGUACACUAUUAUGAUUGUAUGUUAUACUUCUAUAAUCACAAAUUUCCCCAAGACUACACUAUAAAAAAUAUUAACAAAGACAAACAAUAUAUUUUAAUCUAAUCUCAAUUUGACAACAAAAAGAACAAAAGUUUGACAGUAAAUAGUAUGCAUGCGUGUGUGCGUCAAAUAAAUGGUAUGUAGUGUG